AGUGGGCUUGAUUGUGGGGAAAACUCCACAGUUAAGCACGCUUGAGCCAGAGGCGUCUUGGGAUGGGUGACCACCUGGGAAGUCCUGGUUACUGGGUGCA
Picea glauca (white spruce) is the source of this 100-nucleotide non-coding RNA. The record is from Rfam. NCBI's taxonomy places the organism in Eukaryota, Viridiplantae, Streptophyta, Pinopsida, Pinales, Pinaceae.